Long non-coding RNA from Dendroctonus ponderosae (mountain pine beetle), 507 nucleotides. RefSeq lists it as uncharacterized. The record is from RefSeq and is a predicted model, not a curated record. The transcript is spliced from 3 exons. NCBI's taxonomy places the organism in Eukaryota, Metazoa, Arthropoda, Insecta, Coleoptera, Curculionidae.
AAGCUAACCUUAAUAUGUGUUUAAGUGUGCAUGUGGUGUGCAUGCUUUUGUUUAAACCUUUACUUUAAUCUUUUUAUGUUAAACGUAUCUUCAUCUAUGGUUUAAACGUGCCUUCAGAGAUAAAGAACAAGCAAAGUCUAUACUCUAUUGCCAGCAUCAGUGUGAUAAUAAAGCGCCACUCAUUCAUUUCAUUUGGAAAUAUUCUACAACAAACAUGCCUAAAGGAUCCCAAACAAAAUCUGCUCUCCUCCAAUUUUAGUUUUGGGACUUAUUGAAUGAUGCCUUAUCGUUGGACAUCCGGGGGAGGUAGGACAUUUGUAUAAGAAACUGGACGUCAAUUGGACAAAUUAAGGACAUCCAUUGGACAUACGGCUGCCCAAAAUCCGUUGCCUUAUGGACGUCCAAUGGAUUUAUUAGUGCUGUCUGGGAGGUAGAUAGCCUUUGUCAAUAAUUAGAAAUUGUACAUACUUUCCUGACUGUGUUUCAAUUCUAAAUCAAAAUCAAUUC